Molecule: transfer RNA, 21 nt
Filed under: Uroplatus guentheri
Lineage: Eukaryota; Metazoa; Chordata; Lepidosauria; Squamata; Gekkonidae
Description: partial tRNA-Phe
Source: RNAcentral
GUUUUCAGUAGCUUACCAUCC